AGGAUUAACGCUGGCGGCGUGCCUAACACAUGCAAGUCGAACGAGGUAGCAAUACCUAGUGGCAGACGGGUGAGUAGCGCGUGGUCAACCUACCGUUGAGUGGGGGAUAACUAGCCGAAAGGUUAGCUAAUACCGCAUACGUCUCCGAGGGGCAUCCCUUGGUGAUAAAAGGAGCAAUCCGCUCGAUGACGGGACCGCGUCCCAUUAGCUAGUUGGUGGGUAACGGCCUACCAAGGCAUCGAUGGGUAGCUGGUUUGAGAGAGCGACCAGCCACACUGGGACUGAGAUACGGCCCAGACUCCUACGGGAGGCAGCAGUGAGGAAUUUUCCGCAAUGGGCGAAAGCCUGACGGAGCGACGCCGCGUGUGGGAAGAAGGCCUUCGGGUCGUAACCACUGUCGAAGGGGAAGAUAAUGACGGUACCCUUGGAGGAAGCCCCGGCUAACUACGCGCCAGCAGCCGC
Molecule: ribosomal RNA, 462 nt
Filed under: uncultured bacterium
Lineage: Bacteria
Description: SSU rRNA
Rfam family: Bacterial small subunit ribosomal RNA
Source: RNAcentral